This is a long non-coding RNA of Alnus glutinosa, 587 nucleotides long. RefSeq lists it as uncharacterized. The record is from RefSeq and is a predicted model, not a curated record. NCBI's taxonomy places the organism in Eukaryota, Viridiplantae, Streptophyta, Magnoliopsida, Fagales, Betulaceae. The transcript is spliced from 4 exons.
AGAAAAAUAAGAAGGAAAGAGGUUGUAUGGCCGAGAGAGGAGAUAAGGGGGAGAGAGAGGAAGAUUUUCCUAUAUAUAAGAGACGUGAUCUAAGAAGAUUUAACGGUCCAAUCUUCAAUCCGUCUUCGGUAACGUGAUCUACGAAGCCCGAUCUACGUUUCUACCGAUCGUUUUGAGGCUUUGUGUUAUUUGGAGCUUGCAAAAAUUCUCUAAACACCGGGUAAUAUUUGGAUAAAUUUUUGGUAAUGCAUUGCAUGGUGGUGUCUAGGAGACCUAGUGCUUAAUAUCCGCACAGCCAAGACAUUGAUGUUUUGGUUGCAGGUUCUGCGGAUAUAGAUAAUGACUCGCCCACCUAGCUUAUGAGAUGCUAUGAUUGGAGUACAUCGUGACAGUCAUAAGUCACAGACUCAUGGGUAGUCUGCAUUUGAAUAUUUUAUUUAUGGCUCGUGUCAUACGUGACAUAUGUAUUUGUUGAGCCUGUAUUUUAGUAUGUAAUUAGUGUAAUAUGUUUUAUAAGCUUUAACCAGUUAGACAUAUAAAUGGCUCUUGUUGUUGAUAGCAGUUAUAUAUUAGAUGUAUUUCCGCUA